Molecule: ribosomal RNA, 460 nt
Filed under: uncultured bacterium
Lineage: Bacteria
Description: partial 16S ribosomal RNA
Rfam family: Bacterial small subunit ribosomal RNA
Source: RNAcentral
CCUACGGGUGGCAGCAGUGAGGAAUAUUGGUCAAUGGGCGCGAGCCUGAACCAGCCAAGUCGCGUGAAGGAUGACUGCCCUACGGGUUGUAAACUUCUUUUAUCAAGGAAUAAAGUGAGGCACGUGUGCCUUUUUGUAUGUACUUUAUGAAUUAGGAUCGGCUAACUCCGUGCCAGCAGCCGCGGUAAUACGGAGGGUCCGAUCGUUUUCCGGAUUUUUUGGGUUUAAAGGGAGCGUAGAUGGGUUGUUAAGUCAGUUGGGAAAGUUUGCGGGUCAACCGUAAAAUUGCAAUUGAUACUGGCAGCCUUGAGUACAGGUGAGGUAGGCGGAAUGCGUGGUGUAGCGGUGAAAUGCUUAGAUAUCACGAAGAACUCCGAUUGCGAAGGCAGCUUACUAAACUGCCACUGACAUUGAUGCUCGAAAGUGUGGGUAUCAAACAGGAUUAGAUACCCGUGUAGUC